UAUGUAGAAUGUAGCUGUUGAGAAUAGUGAGUCUGGGGAAGCUAGAAAUCUCAGCCCCAACAUUUACAAUCUUUGUAAACACGGCAAACUAAACUGUAAUUUUCAGCUUGUCAUACAGGAAAUGGAGACAAAAAUACUUGUCCUUCUGGGUUAAUAUAAGGAGUAAAAGAAGAAAUCUAUCAAAAGUAUUUUGAGAGCCUUCCUGUGCAUAGUAAAGAGCCAACAUAUAUCUGAUCAAGAAGCCUGGAUUACUAUCAAAUCCAAGAACUUUCAUUCUUGAUGGAAUUUUAAGGAAUUUCACCUGCAGAAAUAAAAGCAUAAGGGUAGUGUUUAUUGGAACCUUGCAAAGGAAGAAAAUGGAAAUUAAGCUGGGAAAUGUAUCAACAAGGAAGCGAACUGUAGCCUGGGUGGAAAUUCACCUGUUAGAUUCAUAUUCUGUGUGGCAUGAAAUUACCAUCCCAGACACACUUGAGGAAACAGGAGAGAUGGAAUAUGGAAAGCAUAUUGGCACUACUGUGGAGAAGAACAUGGUUAGCAUAUAAAUUAUUCAUUUUGCCUCUUAACUGCAUAAUGAAUUUUAAGUGGUGGGUCUUCCUCUCCUGAGGGUCAGGGUGCUUCCUUAGCGAUCACAGAGGAUUUAGCCACACAGCCUUGGGUGGCUGUCAUGGAAGGUAGUUAAAAGCUGCCUGCUGGGACCUGCUAGUGAAGUCAUGACAACGUGCUGAAUUAUGACAGGCAUUCGAUUAUCUUUCUACUAGCUUCAUCAUGAUCCUCUUUGAUGACUGCAGAACAGUCCUUACAGUAUCUGAGCUAAUUCUUUAUGCUGUCAUUUCCACAAGUAAUUAUUACACACAUGAUAGGAGCCAUACACUAUUCUGAAUACCUGAAUGGUGAAUCAAAUACUAUUUCAAAUCUAUCUUCUUAGCAUGUUUAUAUUCUAAUGAGGUU
This is a long non-coding RNA of Cavia porcellus (domestic guinea pig), 948 nucleotides long. RefSeq lists it as uncharacterized. Lineage: Eukaryota; Metazoa; Chordata; Mammalia; Rodentia; Caviidae. The transcript is spliced from 3 exons. The record is from RefSeq and is a predicted model, not a curated record.